Long non-coding RNA from Cyprinus carpio carpio, 1633 nucleotides. The record is from Ensembl. Lineage: Eukaryota; Metazoa; Chordata; Actinopteri; Cypriniformes; Cyprinidae.
AAAAAAAAUCCUUUGUGAAAUAUGGAUAUUUCUCAUGAGGAUAAAGCGAUAUGGGUAUUUCACAACAGGAGCCUUUGGAUCAUUGUUUUGAUUUAGACAAAUUCAGGUUACUCUGAAUAAUUAGCAUUCCAUUGCUGAGGCUGAGACUGCUAAUGUGCCAUAUUUGUGUUUAUUUGUCUUUAUUCUUUUGUUUCAUUUUGAACAGAGCCCAUAAUGAAUAAAGACAAUACUAAACUAAAGAGAGAGAGAGAGAGAGAGAGAGCGAGAGAGAGAGAGACACAGAGUGAUUCAGAUUCCUUUCCUCUGUAUUCAUGCUGUGGUUUCUAAAUCAAAUCCAGCAAGUUCAUCUGUUCUGCUGCGAGUGACUGUAGGAAAAGAGCAGCUGUCCACAUUAUGCCUCAGUUCCAGCCUAUUUCACACAGCUGUGUUAACAACACAGAGAAAGAGAGAAUGUUACAUUCCACCCGUGUCAGUUGGACUACAUAAAGAAAUAUCACAGCUUUCGGCGUGCGUAUGUGUGUGUGUGUGUGUGUGUGUGUGUGUGUGUGUGUGUGUGUGUGUGUGUGUGUGAACGUACACACACAUGCAUCGUCUCCUCCACAAACACAGCCUGUCUGCGAGAUGUGACUUGUCUUAGAAUCGCCCACGUGGCAUCCCGAUAGAGAGCAAGAAACAUGUAACCACACACUCUCUCAUUCUCUCAAACACACAUCUGACUGCAAACAUACAAACACUUAUUCAGAAGACUCAUAAUAACAUGUCUGUCAUAGAUUGAAUAAACAAUUUUAAAUCAGUCCACGAGUCUGAGCCAAGCCGAAGUCCUUUAGAAAGAUUUAGUCUACUAAAUGACAUAGUGAGCAGAUGUGCUAACAUCUAUUUAAAUAUAGUGAGACCGAAAUGACCUGAAUGCUGAUUUUUAGAAUUGACUGUGCAUCUUGAUUUUCAGUACUUCUAUUAUAAUCUAUUUAUCUGUCUUUCCAUUCAUCCAUUUCUCCAUCUAACUCAGUAUUUAAGGUUUUAUCCACAUUUUUAUACUCCGUUAUAGUAAUUAUACAAGUAAGAGUUUGCAUCUUUAAAAUCUAUAAAGCUCUGUGUAUUAGUAUACACAUUAUGAAAACCUUCCAAACUGUGAUGUGUUUACAUGCUCCUGUGGGAAAUUUGCACAUUGUAAAUAUUUACGAGUUAUGCUUGACAUCUCAAUGUCUAAUUUAAUUCGCUCUCUCUUUCUCUCACACACGGAUAAUUUACAGUUGGGAACUGUUUACAGAUACAAUUUGUCAAUUAUGUUUGUGUAUGUUGAUAGAAAAGUAACACAUUUGUAAAAAUGAGUUAAAAUGCUUUAGUGGAUACACUUUCUUUUUUAAAUUCUGGGUUCGUGAUUAUCUGUUAAUGUAGGCGUUUUAGGAUGCUUUUAAGAGAUGUUGAAUAUUUAUGUUAUGGCAAUUAUGUAACAAGGUUACAUGCAAAAUUGAAUGCUGUGGUUAAAGAUUUGUGAUGAUAAAAUUCUUUUAAAAUAAAUUCGGUAAAAGUGCCAGUAGUAUUGUGUAACAAUCUGCUGUUAAGGUGAAUUUCUACAAAUGUGUAUUUAGGAGUGUUUCCUUAAAUCAUCUGGUAACACAUUUGGUAAUGAUUG